GAUGAACGCUAGCGACAGGCUUAACACAUGCAAGUCGAGGGGCAGCGAGGGCGUAGCAAUACGCCUGUCGGCGACCGGCGCACUGGUGAGUAACACGUAUGCGACCUGCCCCCUACAGGGGUAUAACCCGUAGAAAUGCGGACUAAUCCCCCCAUAGUCCUGGGUGCUGCAUGGCAUUCAGGGGAAAGGCCAGCCGGUAGGGGAUGGGCAUGCGGCGCAUUAGCUAGUUGGCGGGGCAACGGCCCACCAAGGCGACGAUGCGUAGGGGUUCUGAGAGGAAGGUCCCCCACACUGGUACUGAGACACGGACCAGACUCCUACGGGAGGCAGCAGUGAGGAAUAUUGGUCAAUGGGCGCAGGCCUGAACCAGCCAAGUCGCGUGAGGGAAGACGGUCCUACGGAUUGUAAACCUCUUUUGUCGGGGAGUAACGUGCGGGACGGGUCCCGUAUUGAGAGUACCCGAAGAAAAAGCAUCGGCUAACUCCGUG
RNAcentral lists this ribosomal RNA (488 nucleotides) under uncultured bacterium. Its description in RNAcentral is "bacterial SSU rRNA". It matches the Rfam family "Bacterial small subunit ribosomal RNA", at positions 28 to 507 of the family's 1533-position model. The record is from RNAcentral.